CCUACGGGUGGCAGCAGUGGGGAAUAUUGGGCAAUGGGCGCAAGCCUGACCCAGCAACGCCGCGUGAAGGAAGAAGGCUUUCGGGUUGUAAACUUCUUUUCUCAGGGACGCAGGAAGUGACGCUACCUGAGGAAUAAGCCACGGCUAACUACGUGCCUGCAGCCGCGGGAAUCCGUAGGUGGCAAGCGUUAUCCGGAUUCAUUGGGUGUACAGGGCGUGUAGGCGGGAGCGCAAGUCAGAUGUGAAAACUCAGGGCUCAACCCUGAGCCUGCCUUUGAAACUGUGUUUCUUGAGUGCUGGAGAGGCAAUCGGAAUGCGGGGUGUAGCGGUGAAAUGCGUAGAUAUACGGAGGAACACCAGUGGCGAAGGCGGAUUGCUGGAGAGUAACUGACGCUGAGGCGCGAAAGCGUGGGGAGCAAACAGGAUUAGAUACCCGGGUAGUC
RNAcentral lists this ribosomal RNA (443 nucleotides) under uncultured bacterium. Its description in RNAcentral is "partial 16S ribosomal RNA". It matches the Rfam family "Bacterial small subunit ribosomal RNA", at positions 338 to 795 of the family's 1533-position model. The record is from RNAcentral.